GUAGGUGGCAAGCGUUGUCCGGAAUUAUUGGGCGUAAAGCGCGCGCAGGCGGUUCUUUAAGGCUGAUGUGAAAGCCCACGGCUCAACCGUGGAGGGUCAUUGGAAACUGGAGAACUUGAGUACAGAAGAGGAAAGCGGAAUUCCACGUGUAGCGGUGAAAUGCGUAGAGAUGUGGAGGAACACCAGUGGCGAAGGCGGCUUUCUGGUCUGUAACUGACGCUGAGGCGCGAAAGCGUGGGGAGCAAACAGGAUUAGAUACCCUGGUAGUCCACGCCGUAAACGAUGAGUGCUAAGUGUUAGGGGGGUUUUCCGCCCCCCUUAGUGCUGCAGCUAACGCAUUAAGCACUCCGCCUGGGAGUACGGCCGCAAGGCUG
Molecule: ribosomal RNA, 374 nt
Filed under: uncultured organism
Description: partial 16S ribosomal RNA
Rfam family: Bacterial small subunit ribosomal RNA
Source: RNAcentral